ACGGAAGGCAGCAGUGGGGGAUAUUGCACAAUGGGGGAAACCCUGAUGCAGCGACGCCGCGUGAGUGAAGAAGUAUUUCGGUAUGUAAAGCUCUAUCAGCAGGAAAGAUAAUGACGGUACCUGACUAAGAAGCUCCGGCUAAAUACGUGCCAGCAGCCGCGGUAAUACGUAUGGAGCAAGCGUUAUCCGGAUUUACUGGGUGUAAAGGGAGCGCAGGCGGUAACGCAAGCCAGAGGUGAAAACCCGGGGCUCAACCCCGAGGAUUGCCUUUGGAACUGUGGAACUGGAGUGCUGGAGGGGCAGGCGGAAUUCCUGGUGUAGCGGUGAAAUGCGUAGAUAUCAGGAGGAACACCGGUGGCGAAGGCGGCCUGCUGGACAGUAACUGACGCUGAGGCUCGAAAGCGUGGGGAGCAAACAGGAUUAGAUACCCUGGUA
Molecule: ribosomal RNA, 435 nt
Filed under: uncultured Lachnospiraceae bacterium
Lineage: Bacteria; Bacillati; Bacillota; Clostridia; Lachnospirales; Lachnospiraceae
Description: bacterial SSU rRNA
Rfam family: Bacterial small subunit ribosomal RNA
Source: RNAcentral